RNAcentral lists this small RNA (27 nucleotides) under Bombyx mori (domestic silkworm). RNAcentral describes it as "ovarian small RNA-33021". Lineage: Eukaryota; Metazoa; Arthropoda; Insecta; Lepidoptera; Bombycidae. The record is from RNAcentral.
UGAUUAUGCUCGAGCCGGGAGGAGGUC